RNAcentral lists this ribosomal RNA (342 nucleotides) under uncultured bacterium. Its description in RNAcentral is "bacterial SSU rRNA". It matches the Rfam family "Bacterial small subunit ribosomal RNA", at positions 28 to 334 of the family's 1533-position model. The record is from RNAcentral.
GACGAACGCUGGCGGCGUGCUUAAAACAUGCAAGUCGAACGGAUUUGUUAGCUGGACAAAGCAAUCUCUGAGAGAUUGUUUUGUCCAGUUGAUAGAUUAGUGGCGGACGGGUGAGUAACGCGUGAGCAACCUGCCUAUUACAGGGGGAUAACAGCUGGAAACGGCUGCUAAUACCGCAUGAGACCACAGGAAGGCAUCUUCAAGGGGUCAAAGGAGUUAAAUCUGGUAAUAGAGGGGCUUGCGUCUCAUUAGAUAGUUGGUGGGGUAAAGGCCUACCAAGUCGACGAUGAGUAGCCGAUCUGAGAGGAUGAACGGCCACACUGGAACUGAGAAACGGUCCAG